This 65-nucleotide transfer RNA is filed under the name Camelus ferus (Wild Bactrian camel). It matches the Rfam family "tRNA". Rfam says of the family: Transfer RNA (tRNA) molecules are approximately 80 nucleotides in length. Their secondary structure includes four short double-helical elements and three loops (D, anti-codon, and T loops). Lineage: Eukaryota; Metazoa; Chordata; Mammalia; Artiodactyla; Camelidae. The record is from Rfam by way of RNAcentral.
GGUAUAGCUCAGUGGUGGAGUGCAUGCUUAAUGCGCAUGAGGUCCUGGGUUCAGUUUCUAGUACC